Molecule: ribosomal RNA, 253 nt
Filed under: uncultured bacterium
Lineage: Bacteria
Description: partial 16S ribosomal RNA
Rfam family: Bacterial small subunit ribosomal RNA
Source: RNAcentral
GACGUAGGGGGCCAGCGUUGCUCGGAAUUACUGGGUGUAAAGGGUUCGUAGGCGGUGUGGCAAGUCGGGAGUGAAAUCUCUGGGCUCAACCCAGAGUCUGCUUCCGAAACUGCUGUGCUUGAGUGUGGGAGAGGCGCGUGGAAUUGCAGGUGUAGCGGUGAAAUGCGCAGAUAUCAGGAAGAACACCCGUGGCGAAAGCGGCUCUCUGGAACGGUACUGACGCUGAGACGCGAAAGCGUGGGGAGCGAACAGG